Molecule: transfer RNA, 72 nt
Filed under: Acer sino-oblongum
Lineage: Eukaryota; Viridiplantae; Streptophyta; Magnoliopsida; Sapindales; Sapindaceae
Description: tRNA-Ala
Rfam family: tRNA
About the family: Transfer RNA (tRNA) molecules are approximately 80 nucleotides in length.
Source: RNAcentral
GGGGAUAUAGCUCAGUUGGUAGAGCUCCGCUCUUGCAGUGGCGGAUGUCAGCGGUUCGAGUCCGCUUAUCUC